UGUUUUACAGGUUGCCAGUGUAACAUUCGACUUGCUGUUGCUUCUAGUGUUGGGAUCGUGUUUAAUUGUGCUUUUCAGCUUUCUUGUCAUAACAACUUGGGUAUUAAUCUUUCUCCAUAUCAAGCUUGAAGUUCUAAAUUUCAGUUUUAUCUUGUAUUUGAUGUUUUAUAAUUUCAUUGCAAACAGAUUAGAAUAGAAACUUCAAAAGUUCCAACUGACUAGUCCCGUGUAACUUUUUCAGGGAAUAUUUUUGAACGUGAAGAACUAGCUUAAUUUUUUUUAUGUUACUUUCUUACCCUAUCUUUGUAUAACUCCGAGCGAGAUUCACGAAGAUUGAAUCCUGCCUACGAUUACGGCGAGCAAUUUAGCAGUGAGGCAACCGAGGUCGUUUACAUAUUCAUUUUCAUCUAGGUUAACAUGAGCUCCAUUUGCGUUGAUUUAAUAUGUUAUUUGAUAAAAGAAAUUGAAUUCAUGACUUACUCUGAAUGUAACAUAAGCUCCAUUUGCGCUGAUUUAAUAUGUUAUUUGAUAAAAGAAAAUUGAAUUCAUGACUUA
RNAcentral lists this long non-coding RNA (555 nucleotides) under Citrus maxima (pomelo). RNAcentral describes it as "long non-coding RNA (CMAX_LNC003451)". The record is from RNAcentral. Lineage: Eukaryota; Viridiplantae; Streptophyta; Magnoliopsida; Sapindales; Rutaceae.